This is a long non-coding RNA of Vitis riparia (riverbank grape), 305 nucleotides long. RefSeq lists it as uncharacterized. The transcript has 2 exons. The record is from RefSeq and is a predicted model, not a curated record. NCBI's taxonomy places the organism in Eukaryota, Viridiplantae, Streptophyta, Magnoliopsida, Vitales, Vitaceae.
ACGAGAGGUCUGAGUCUUUAGGUUAGCUGCAAGAUAGAGGGACUCGCAUCAGGUUCUUGGGAGUUUGCUCGCCGGGAUCGGUAGACUUUCGCCCCCCUACAGGGACACUUUUCUUUGCCAUGAGCAAUGUUGGUGAGGUGGGUAAAUAUCAAUACACUUGAAUAUGAUUGUCACAUCAUUUGGGGGCUUUUGACUCUGGAAGAUUUCUGAUUAAUGUCAUUAAAUUUUUUCUUUUUCUUUUGAAACAAUAUGCCCCUUGAAGACUUGCUUUGAAUAAAUAAGAUUUUAACUUGUUUAGCAUUGUC